RNAcentral lists this ribosomal RNA (395 nucleotides) under uncultured bacterium. RNAcentral describes it as "partial 16S ribosomal RNA". It matches the Rfam family "Bacterial small subunit ribosomal RNA", at positions 523 to 918 of the family's 1533-position model. The record is from RNAcentral.
AUACGUAGGGUGCGAGCGUUAAUCGGAAUUACUGGGCGUAAGGCGUGCGCAGGCGGUGAUGUAAGACAGAUGUGAAAUGCCCGGGCUCAACCUGGGACCUGCAUUUGUGACUGCAUCGCUAGAGUACGGUAGAGGGGGAUGGAAUUCCGCGUGUAGCAGUGAAAUGCGUAGAUAUGCGGAGGAACACCGAUGGCGAAGGCAAUCCCCUGGACCUGUACUGACGUUCAUGCACGAAAGCGUGGGGAGCAAACAGGAUUAGAUCCCCUGGUAGUCCACGCCCUAAACGAUGUCAACUGGUUGUUGGGUCUUCACUGACUCAGUAACGAAGCUAACGCGUGAAGUUGACCGCCUGGGGAGUACGGCCGCAAGGUUGAAACUCAAAUGAAUUGACGGGG